AUUGAACGCUGGCGGCAUGCCUUACACAUGCAAGUCGAACGGCAGCGGACCUUCGGGUGCCGGCGAGUGGCGAACGGGUGAGUAAUAUAUCGGAACGUACCUUUCAGUGGGGGAUAACGUAGCGAAAGUUACGCUAAUACCGCAUAAGCCCUGAGGGGGAAAGUGGGGGACCGCAAGGCCUCACGCGAAUGGAGCGGCCGAUGUCAGAUUAGCUAGUUGGUGGGGUAAAGGCCCACCAAGGCGACGAUCUGUAGCGGGUCUGAGAGGAUGAUCCGCCACACUGGGACUGAGACACGGCCCAGACUCCUACGGGAGGCAGCAGUGGGGAAUUUUGGACAAUGGGCGAAAGCCUGAUCCAGCAAUGCCGCGUGCAGGACGAAGGCCUCGGUUGU
This 392-nucleotide ribosomal RNA is filed under the name uncultured bacterium. RNAcentral describes it as "bacterial SSU rRNA". It matches the Rfam family "Bacterial small subunit ribosomal RNA", at positions 29 to 426 of the family's 1533-position model. The record is from RNAcentral.